RNAcentral lists this long non-coding RNA (15863 nucleotides) under Equus caballus (horse). Its description in RNAcentral is "lncRNA (ENSECAG00000056631.1)". Lineage: Eukaryota; Metazoa; Chordata; Mammalia; Perissodactyla; Equidae. The record is from RNAcentral.
UCUUCCUAAAAAAAAAAAAAAAAAAGAGAUACCACAGGAGCCUGGCCACAUGUCCAAGGCCAUGUUAAGCAGAGCUAGGGCUGAAUUUCUGAUGUUAUCUGAAUCCCACAUGUGGGGGAGCCAAGGGGACUGAAGGCAGGUGCAUCCAGAGAGUGGUGGCAGGGCACAGCAGGGAGGGUGGGGGCUCUAAAGGGCUGGGGUGGUGUUGGAGAAGCAAUCGGGUGCACCUAACCAAGAAUUAUUAACCCAUAAAUUCCAGAGUGGUGUGCUGCUGUGGAGACAAGAAUCCCCAUGUGACAAUUGUGAGGGUUUCCUAGGAUAUGGUUUUAAUCCUAGGAAUUAAAAAUUAAAUAACAACUAUGAACAGGAGGUCUAAUUAAAGUCUAAAACUAUUAUUAUUUGGCGAGGGCUGCCUUAACCAAAUACUACAAACUGGGCUUAAAUAACAGAAAUGCAUUUUCUCGCAAUUCUGGAGGCUGAAAGUUGAUCAAGAAGUCAGCAGGGUUGGUUUCUCCAGAGACCUCUCUCCUUGGCUUGCAGACGGCUGCCUUCUCACCACGUCCUCACAUGGUCUUUCCUCUGUGUGUCUUCCUCUUCUUACAAGGACACCAGUCCUAUGGCUAGGGCCCCACCCAGAGGACCUCAUUUAAUGUUCAUUAGCUCUUUAAAGACUCUGUCUCUAAAUACAGACACAGUGGGGCUUGGCACUUCAACAUGUGAGUUAGGGGGACACAGUCCAGCCCAUAACACCCCCGAUGCUCAUUUUGUUAUCUGUAAAAUGGGGAUAUUGCUAUCUUCCUAUGUGCGAAGUCACCAAAGCCUUCUUACUUUUGACCCUGGGAGGGGAGAGGGUCUCCCUGCUGGUCUUCAUUCACAGGGCAUUCCUGUGGGUUGGGCUGGGUGGGGGCCACUCCCAGGUGAAUGUUCGGGGGUUCGUGCCUGGUGUAUCCAGCGAUACUCUCUACCUAUGUGGUCUCUCUUUUGUUUUAAAGACUGGAUUCUCAUGACUUCCUUCUUUUUCAUCAGCUUUAUCUGCUUAGUUUUCAAACUGUUCCUGGAUGAGACACAGAGAAGGACGGGUGGCAGCUGAGCUCCUGACAAUGACACAACAGGUGAGAAGGGACUUGCUCUCAUUCCUGGAUUGAUCCCUCUUUUGCCAAGUGGUCGGGUUUCUCCUUUGGGCUUGGAUCUUCUAAACACUCUGAGAAAUUUUAGUAUCCAUUAUGUUCACCACCCUGUUAGGUGUGCAGCAGGUGAGGGAUGGGUGUGGAAAUAAUCUUCCCAGCAUUCACACUCACUUGCUCUAGUCUCCAUUGAGGCUGUGUCUUCACAGAAGAGAUGGGAAAGUUUUUCUUCUCAUCCAGUGGCUCAGUGGAGAAAUAAUUCCCUCACUUACCAUGUUAGUAGCUGCAGUGGCCUUACAUAUGUGUGAACACAGGCAAUAGAGAUGAGUGAGGGCAGAAGCUUCUAGACCAGUGGGGAGGUAGGUGUUUCAGCAGGUGAGUCCAGUGUCACAAGAGCUGGAGUGGAGGCUUUGCAGCCUGGAGGUGGGGGGAGAGGAUAGGACCAGAGACAGCAAUGAGGAACCACUUAUUUAUGUUUCUCAAUUUUGAACAUAUUAAAGUUUUUAUAGACUAUACUUGAACAUUUUGAUAGUAUCAAAAAAAGAUAAAAUUCUCUUAACAAAGACAACUCAAUUUCCCUCUCUUACUAACCUUGGUUCAAGUUUGAAAGCCAAAUGCAAUAUAUGCAUAAUAUUGUUUUCUUAAUUAUGAUUGUGUGCUCUGGAGAAGGAGUGGAGUAGAAAGAAUAAAAUGCAAUGGCAGAUUAGGAAGCUCCAAGCUCUCAAUUUGUGGUAACAUCAAACAAACAAACAAACAAACUUGAAUCAGCUGGGGGUGACAGCUUAGGGGACCAAGAAGUGGCAGCGAUGGUCUCCUGAAAUUUUUUUUACUACCACCACUGCUGGGCCCCAGCAGGAGGACCAACUGGCCCUUGGGGAGUGUGUGAGUGUAUGUGUUGUGUGUGUCUUUCCCCUGCCUGCUGGGUGACCCUGGACCUAAUGAGAGCUCAUGCCUCCCAUGAGAGCAGUGGAUAUCAGUAGGCCAGUGGGGCCUGAAGCAUCAGUCAUCUUGUUUCUCCAGAGUGGAGGGCACUCAAAGUUUGUAAGAUGGGGUCCAGGUGCAAAGGGAUGCUGCCCCCUUGGCUCAUCCCUGCCAUGUGACAGGAAUAUCCUUCCCUUGGGAAAGCAGCCUGAGUCUCCUGCAGAGCAGGACUGCACUGGCCCAGAGAUCAGGACUGCCAGCCCCAGGUCUUGGAGGGUUGGGACAGCCCACUGAAUCUCCAGGGGCUCUGGUAUAUGGAAGAGGCCAAUGACCUAGAGGCUUGGGGUCCCACCCACCCUGGUUGGCCCCAGGUCAGGGUGGAGCAGAGAGACUGAGGGGCUGGGAUACCAGCACCUGCCUGGCUCUGUGGCGGACAGGGGCAAAGAAGUGGGGAUGGGCUCCUCCUUGUUUCUGAGGACACUCUGGUUUCUGCUCCUGAUGCCAGAAUCUUCUCCUUCUCUUUCUACCUCUCUGGAUGCUCCUCCACAGGAAUGUUUGCCAGCAGAGCCUCGUCUGCCUGGGUUUUAAUAAUUGAAGUGCUCCAUGCUCAACUCAGGGCCGUAAUCUUUUAUCUCUAUGCUUUCAUUGUUUUAAAUAACCUCUGGGUGAUCCAAUCCAUUCUGAAGGCAUUCAUUACCAACUUAGUGCUUAUGCACCCCAGAUUUAUCUCCACCCAGAAUCAGACAUACAACUGCCUGGUUGAUCUUCUGGCUUGGAUGUUGCCUGAACAUUACAUUCCAAGAAUGAUCUGACACUAAAAGUUUGUUCAACGUCAUCUGGGCCGUGCCCCAGGCUUCCCCGCUGAGUGGACUGUAUCCCUGUUCACCUAGUGACCUCACUCUUUCCAAACUCCAGAAGUGUGUCCUCAUCCUGUAUCUCCCCAAAUCACACACAAUCCAUUGCCCGGUCCUGCCCAGUCCUCCUCUGGUAUGUGUCUCCCAACACCUCUCUCCACUUCCACCCACUGUUCUACUAACCCCCAACCCUAUGUUUAGCCAUUUGCUCUUUGAAGGACAUUGUGUGGUUUCCAGCUUGGAGCAGUGAUGAACAGAGCUGCUGGCAUCAUUCAUGUCUAGGAUUUGGCAUGAACAUCAGUGUUGUGGGCCCAAGGGUGGGGUCCUCCAGAUCACAGUCAGGUUUGAUACUUCACCUCCUAGAAGGACUCGUGGGGCUGCUCAAAGUUGGCUGACUUCCUGGAGGUUUCUUUGGUUUUCAGGUUCCUUUUGGAAUCAGGGUUGGGAAUACAGCAACUCUUUUGUCUUUAGAUUCCUUCAGGGCUCAGGGCUAGGACUCCAGAGACUUUCUUGGGUUUUCAGAGGACAUUUCGGAAAUGGGAUCCCAGUCAUCUAAAUGUUCUGAGGGAAAUCCUCCUUCAGGGAUGCCAGCCGGGUUAUGUUUAAGAACUGUGGGCCUCUAUGUGUGCACUUUUAACUGAGUGGGAUGAACUGACCAAAAGCAGUUCGGAAUCUCAAUGGCCAUCAUGGAGAACUUUCAAGCUCCCCAAACUAGCUUUUCUUAAAAUCAUAUUGGAAGACCAUGGCUCUAAAAUGAAGCAAAACAAAUGGUAAGUGUAUUUUCACUGGAUACCCACAAAGCUCUAAAAUUGCCUCACUACUAGACAUCUUGUCUAAAUUCACCAAAACAACUAAAAAGCUGAGGGAAAACAAAAAUGUUUCUUAAGCCUCCUGCUCCCUUCCCCCUUUCUCUGUCUCAGGCACCAUCUUGUCUUCCCAGACUCCUUUGUCUCAGGCUCCACCCCAGAUGCCACCUUCCGCUCUUCCUCUCUGCAAAAACCUGCCCCUUUAAAAUCAGACCUCUGAGGAUUCAAAAGCUUAACUCCUUAUUGCUAUUUCUAAGUUAACUGGAACAAAUAAAAACUAGAAGGAAAAGUUUAAAUAUCAACUACCCUAGACUUUUGAUGAUAGACAAAAUGACUCCAAAAGUAGCUCUAAAAUGAUGCAAAUAAAAACCUUCAGUAAGAGACUUCAGCCGUCUCUGAACAGCUAAACUUCACCUUAGUCCAUCUGCCGGAAAUACAGCUUGGAUCCGAUUAUUCUUUUGAGACAUAUCUAAAGUUCUUUAAAUGAAAGCUAUGAGAUCUUUCUUUGUGUCUGUCUAUGUGUCUAUGUAUGCAUGUUAUAGAGAUGUGAUAUUUUUCUACCUCCAAAUGAUGUUACUAGAAUUGACUUGUAAAAAGCUCAAUUUAAUUGCCUUGAAAUUAACUACUUAUAAAUUAAGUAUUCCUAAAUCUCAGAAAUAUAAUAGAAACUAACUCAAAUGCUUUUCAAGUUUAUGUGACCUAGAAUUAAUCUUUAGUAAAUAAAAGCUGGCUGAAGGUUGUUGGUGUAAAUAAAAAGUAGGCAUAUCUUCAGAGUCAUUAGUUGGGUGUAAUGCAAACGUGCAACUUUUCUCUCUGCCUGGGUUCACGAGUCAUGUAGGCUCAUGCUGUCUCUGUCUGCUACAAAAUUUGUCAGCAAGAAAGUAACAAGAUGAUGGUUGGCUAUUUAAUGUCUACUCCAAGCAUGAUUGCUAAAGCAAGUAAUUAAAAUAAAUGUAAAUGAGAUCAAAGUUUAUACUAAGUUAAACUAAAUAAUGGCUAGUCAUCGAAUCCCUAAAUCAUUUUCCAAACUAAACAAAAUAGUAAAACAUUAAUUACUGAAGAUAAGUUUAUCUCAUUUUGGCUUCCUGUGGCAGAAAACUAAAGAUAUUUGAGUCUAUUAGUGAACAAGUUCUAUGCCAUGCUGAGAAAUUUUCCACAGAAAAAAGGGCAAUGUUUCUAGAAAUUUAUAAAAGGUAUUUUAGGUUUGCUAAGCCACAAAAUGCUAACAUAGUUCACAAUUUCUUAUUUCUUAAUUUUUACCAGGAAUUGGGGACUCUAAGGGUUAAGAAUUCUAAUAUAUGUAACUAAAGCUACAAGAAAUAAAAAGGGAAACACCCCUGUAUGCAAGGGAAGUAGCAUGUGUUUUCGGUAAAAGAAGGUAUAAGGAUUGGAAAUGCAUUUUAUUGAGCAAAAAGAAAGUAAUUUUGUCUUAAAAAGAAGCUGGUUAUUUUGGAAUGGGAAAGAGGGAAUCAUAGGACAAAAUCUAAAUGUAAAAAGAAAGCUGUAGAAGGUUUAUGGAAAAGAAUCUUGUGAAAAGAAUUUUAAUGUGUGGUCAGGCUGGGUAAGAUUAAAAUGAAUUUAUUAAAAUGAGCUUUAAUACUAAAAUAAGGUGAUGCAAAAUUAAAACUUGGCCUUCUUUUCUAUGGAAAGGACAAGGUUUUCUUGGGCUAUUGGUCUGCUCGUGAUAACAGAUUUGGAAAGCUUCUUUGCCUUUAAGUAAUAUGCCUACAAAACAGAGAUUUUUAUGUUUUAUCAAAAUGAUUUCUUGUGCUUUUUUAAAUUAGGUCUCUACUUUCUUAGGAAAACUCAAUCUUCUUAGAGUUGAAGUUGAGUUUUGCUUAUCACCACGUGACUUUUUUAUUUGCCUUUGAAACCUGUUCUGUUACUUUGGUCAAAUAGAUACUUAAAUAUUAUUUUAUACUGAUGUGUGAUCCUAUUUGGUCAAGUGUCCAAACCUUUUGCUAUUUUGACAAGCUUCCCAAAAUAUUCAAAUUCUAAAUGAAGUUUUUUUCAACCUGGAUAUAAUUUUGGGAUUUUCCGAGUGGCACCUCGGACAUCUCAAAAGAUUUAUUCCCUCUCCUUAUAAAAAGAGACAUAUUACACUAAUUAGGCUUAUUUGAUAUAUCAAAUUACAUGAGAAACAUGGCCAAAUAAGCAAUAAUAAAUCUUUUUAGGUUUAUUGGAUGGGUGAACGUUACUAAAGUGUUGUAGAAAUUGUAUAUAAUUCCUAAAAAUCUGAUAUGUCCUAUUAUAACGUUAUUAACUGCAGUUCUAGUUACUAUCUAAAAUGUACGUCAAAAAAUACCCAAAUUUUCUUGUCAAUUGUAUUUACCCAUUGCCUUUUUGUAAGUCUUUUGUCAGUCACAGUCAGUUAUUGUUUUACACUGAUGCUUCUACAAAUACGUUCCAUUUUCAAAGAGAUUCUUGAAAAAAGACUGACAAGUACCCUGGAACACAGAUUUUGACAACUUUAAGAUCAUAACUCUGAACUGGGUGGAAAUUUCUGGAACUCGAGUGGAAGACUGAUUGCUUUGACGUUUUGUUUUCCAGAUGUAAAGGACCCCUUUUUCUCCUCUACUUUAAGCAAUCUAUAACUUACAACAUUUUGGUAAAGUGUAUCUUUGCAACAAGGUUGAAACAUUUUUUUUCUCUACCUGAUCCCUCCAGAAUUUAGGGACUUUUAAGUAUUCUUUUUGUGAUGAUAUAUGUAUUUGCACAGGCUCAGUGAAGAUCUGUUCUCCUUGUAACAAAACACAAUUAGAAACAUUGGUUGCAUUGUGCAAGCCAAAGCUUUGACUAGAAUGUUAUAUUUAAGAAAAAUGUACAUAGACUCAGACCUGACUGAUGGCUUUAAGAAACUGCUUGAAAAAUCAGCAUAGUACCUUGCUUACAAGGUUCCAGAAAAGCAAUCUUUAAAAAGAGCUUAUAUGGUCAAUCACUAUCCUUGUUUCAUUUAUAUAAAUAAUCAGGCGGAGUUUAAUACAAACAAAUUAGUUUUACUUUGAUUACCUUUAAUAAAAGCCAAGCUAAUUGUGGAGGAAAAAAUUCUGUUUUCACCUGUAUAGAUAUUAAAUUCUAGCCCUGUUAACUGCCUUUAAGGUUUUGUUAUACCUGUAAGCUAAAUUGGAUCCUAAAUUCUUCCUGUUUCCUUAAAUGUCUGGAUACAAUACUCCAAAGUGAUGUUCCCAAUUUUACUGCCCUUGAGACUCUUAGAAGGGACUAUACCAGGCCAUCCUGACCACCAGAAGGCAGCCAAACUUCAGGGACUUGAGACUUGGGUGCACAUCUCACAGCCGAAGAAGGCUCCACCUGACAUCUGGUCCUGUACAAACCCUGGGGAUCUCUGAAUCAAAUUGGCUAGGAAGAGAAGCAGCUGACAUCUGAGGCGGACAGGUUUCCCAAGAUGACCGGACCACUCGUAUAUACCCCCAUCCCACUGCUGUUUCUUAUUUAUUUUCUCCUUCCCUUUCCUGGAAGGACAAUGCCCUUGUUCACGUUUCCCAAUCCCUUUCAAAAGAGGGAAACUUCUCUGAUUGUUGGGUUUACCAUCAAAAACCUCUGUCUGUUCAAGACAGUAAUGACCCCUUAGUUCACCCUAUAAGUAUUUUCACUGAGAUUCCAGAUGCUGCUGUUUGUCUAAAUUGCUCUGCUGGUCCAUUUUGCCAAGUCAGGAUGCUAUGCUCGCCUAAACUUGUCCUUGCUUUACUUUAAUCCAUCCUUGGGAGGAGAAAACAAGAUGUUUUGAAUAUUUGUAUGAAAAAUUUUGUGGGACCAUCAAUGUAAGUUGAAUCAUUUGCAUAUUUCUUAACAUGCCCAUGUAUUUAGGCAACCUUUCAGUAUCUAACAACAUACUAUCUGAGCCUUGGUUAUACAAUGCUAAUUCCUCUAUGUUGGUGAAUGAGUCUGUAGAUGAUAUCACUUGUGCUGGGACCUUAUUUAAACUCCCUGAUUUAUGUCAUCUGUGGAGGUUUCAGUAAAGGCCUUUAUGCUUGGACAACUCGUUGCUUUGACAGCAGCUGGAGAAUACAAGGACAGUGUGCCCUGGCCAUAUUCACUGUCCCGUUCUCUCUGCAUAAUGAAUCAGAGGGCUCUCAUUGGUCUCUCCCAUUGAAUCUCCAUAGUUCCUUUAAAUGAGAACUUCCAGGAGGUCUACAUGACUCUGGGUUUGCCUCCAUGGGCAGAGCUUUCUUCCGAUGGAUCAGAGUGAGUGCCAGAGAAAAAAUGACCAGAAAUCUCUCCUUGACACUAGCAGAACUGGCUGAUUCCACAGCCAAAGCAAUUUCAGCUCAGCAAAGGUUGCUUAACUCAUUGGCUGAGGUAGUUUUGGAUAAUCAUAUAGCCCUUGAUUAUCUACUUGCUAAGCAAGAAGAUGUCUGUGCUGUGGUGAACACCUCCUGUUCACUUGGAUAAAUGCCUCUGGGGAAGUAGAAACCCAAUUACAUAAGAUUAGAGAGAAAGCACAUUGGCUACCAUUAAUUUCACUUAGCCCAUUGUCCUUUGAUCUGUUCAGCUGACUGCCUUCCUGUUUGGGCUCCUGGUUUAGAACUAUCCUGAGAACUAGGCUUAUAGUGUUGCUCUUCAUCUUGCUCUGUAAACCUGUUGUGAAGUUCUGUCCCCUUUGCCUGUCAAACCUCUGUAAAAAUUACGUGCCCAAAAGGGGGUUUUAUCUCAGCACUUUGAGAUGAACUCCACUACCUAUGACCUUGGAGAAACAUAGACUUCAGAUGAGAAAUGCCUCAGAGUUCCCCCUCCUAACCUUCCUUGGUACUCAAAUGUGGCCUAAAUAGUUUCCAACCACUAGGUACUUUACCUCCAACAUGGGACACGACAACCAGCAAUGGUUCUUCCUGGCACAGAGGGACAUUCAGCUUGAAAUAGUCCACAUACCGGUGUGGCACAUCUUGGAGCAGCCUGCCCUGAACCCCAUCAAUAGGAACCAAUCAUAUAAAAGAUCCAAGAAGAAGCUGAAUGAGAAACAUGUCAGAUUUGUGGGAGAAAAAACUAUGAAACAACAAAAAAGUGUAUAAAAUAGUACAAAAUAAAAUGAGUAUUAUUCCUAGGUAACUAGGAAGAGAAUGUUAUUGUGAGUGUGAAUUGUUUCUAAAUUAAUGUUAGUUGAAUGCAAUUCCCAAAAAAAGCACUUUUCCUGACUCUUCACCAGCUAAUACUAAACUACAUAUGGAAGAGUGAAAGAGCAAGGAGAACAAAGAAUUCUUGGAGUGAACAAAAAUAAGAGGGUCCUGCAAUACAAGUUAUGAAAAAAUAUUCUAAGAUUAUUAUUGUAUUGGUACAAGAAUGUGUGUUAAGAUCUACAAGACAUACUAUUGAGUCAAAAAAAAUAAGCUUCAGAGUAAAUUCUGUACACAAAUGUUAAUCACGCAAUCAAAAGUCAAAAAAAAUUUAAGGAUAUGCAUGUGCUUAUAAAACUGAUCUGAAGGAUCAGUGUUUGUGCUUGGGAGUGCAUCUGGGAAAGAAACUAGUGGCACUUUCUGGCUCCUCUAAGCUUUGGAGUUACUCAGGGCUCUGACCUGGACCCCUUCUUUCUCUGUCUCCAUACUUGGUCUAGCUCACCUCACCCAGUCAGAUGGUUGGCUGUGUGCAUUAGCUAUGUGCUAAUGAUGUCCAAAUCCACAUCUCCAGCUUUGGAGCUGCAGACCCAUCCAACUAACCAUUUCAUUGUCUCCAAGGAGGUCAAAUAUGUGUUUCCAAUGUAAUAUGAGAAAAACAACUCAAGAUUCCUCCCAUGCCCAACUUACUUCUCUCCGGUAAUUUUCAUCUCAGCAGACGGUACCACAAUCCAUGAAAAUACAGAUAGUAUCCAUGGUUCUUCUAUCUCCCUCGUCCACCACAUCUACUCAAUAUAUCUCACCUACUAAAUCUGCAAAAUGACCACGUCCCUCUAAUGCCAACACUGCCAGGCUAGUCCCAGGGACUGUCAUAUCUCCCUAAAAAACUGCAAAGACAUCUUCUGACCUCUCUGCUUCCACUCUUCUACAUCUACUGUCCUCAAUGGGUGGCACAAUUGUUUAAAAACAUCAGUAUAACUAUUUCACCUACCCUUUUAAACUCAUGCAAAUGGACUUUUGUUUCUGGCAAUAAGAGGGACUAGAUUUCUUCUGAGAUGUUUCCCAUUGUAUUUUCCUAAGUGAUGAUACAGAAAAAAAAUUAAUUUACUACUCUGAUGAUACAAGCAAAGAAAAUCCAGAGAAGCCAGAAAUUAGGAGACAGUGUGAAUCCAGAAAUAUAUUUCAGAAUUGACUCUGGGUCUUGGGAGCAAUUCUGGUCUAUGCAAGCUGAGAGGCAGGCAUUUUGUGUGUGUGGUAAAAUAUACAUAACAUAAAAUUCACCAUAUUUAAGUAUACAGUUCAGUGGCAUUAUAUACAUUCACCUUGUUGUGCAAUCAUCACCACCAUCCAUCUCCAGAACUUUCACCACUCAAACUGAAACUCUGUAUCAAUUAAACACUGACUCUCCAUUCCCUCCUCCCCCAGCCUCUGGUAACUACUGUUCUACUUUCUGUCUCUGUGAAUUUGACUAUUCUAGGUACCUCAUAUUAAUGGAAUCAAGCAGUAUUUGUCCUUUUGUGUCUGGCUUCUUUCACUUAACAUAAUGUCUUCAAGGUUCAUCCAUGUUUUAGCAUGUAUCAGAAUUUCCUUUCUUUUUAAGACUGGAUAAUAUUCCAUUUUAUGUACUGUUGAUUUAAGAAAAUAAAAAAGGGGGUUAUUCAGGAAUAGCAGAGGAAUUACAAUUCAGGACAAGCAAACGAUUGCAAAAGACAUAGGCAAGUCCAGCACACAAAGGAGAGGAAUGCUAUUUUAUAGAGAAAGAGGAGUGAUUUGGGAGGGUUUGAUUUGAACAAAAGUCCAUUGGUGGAAAGCGAGAGUUCACAGUGAUGAUUUCUCAUUGGCUGAGUUGCUGGGGUAGUCAAUUUCUUGUUGGGAAUGCAAUGGACAUCUUUUCCUGUUGGGGUCUGUAAUUGAUGAUUCUUCUUGUAAUUGAUAUCAAGUGGUAGCACAUGAGGGCUGCCCCUUCUGGCCUCCCAAUAUCAUUUCAAAUGAGGUUUCCUUUAUUCUGUUUCACAGUAUAUACAGUAUUUUAUUUAUCCAUUCAUCCAUCAAUGGACACGGGUUGUUUCAAUCUUUUGGCUAUUGUGAAUAAUGGGGCUGUGAACAUUGGUGUACAAAACUCUAUUCGAGUCCCUGCUUUCAAUUCUUUAUAUGUAGAUAGAUAGAUAGAUAGAUGGAUCUCCAGAAGUGGGGUUGCCGGAUCAUAUGAGAGUUCUAUGUUUAACUUUUUGAGGAACCCCUACAUUGUUUUCCACAGCAGCUGCACCUUUUCACAUACCCACCAGCAGUGCACAAGGGUUCCAAUUUCUCCACAACCUUGCCAACACUUGUUUUCUGUUUUUUGCACAGUAGUCAUCCUAGGGAAGUAGUAACUCAUUGUGAUUUUGAUUUAUAUCCCCUUAAAGAGUAGUAACUGUUGAACAUCUUUUCAUGUGCUUAUUGGCCAUUUGUAUAUCUUCUUUGGAGAAAAGCCUAUUUAAGUUUUCUGCCGAUUUUUAACCUUUUGUUGUUGUUGUUGGGUUUUAGUAGUUCUCUAUAUAUUCUGGAUAUUAAUUCCUUAUCAUAUAUGUGAUUUACAAAUAUUUUCUCCUAUUCUGUGGGUGAGAGGCAGGCAUUUUACAGGCUGUGUCCACAAGGCAGGAAAUAGACCAAUGUGGAGAAAGGAUCAGACCUUUCUUGCAUGAAGUCAGGAACCCAGUGGAUGAGCCAGAAAAAUCUCGAUCCAGAGAAGGAGGAUUAGGAAUUCUUCCUUUACCAUUUUUAUUCACCAAAAGGAAUAAAAUAAAACCCAACUGUCUCCCACUUCCCAUAUAACAAACUCACUCUUAGUUUUAGGUUAGAAUUAACACUACCUUUGUGGACUAAAAAUGUUAGUUUACGUGUACCAAAUUUGAAGAUGUCUAACAGAAAACAUAAAAUUUAUUCUACAGGAAUGUACUUUAAAACAAGUUUUUUCUAUUGAAAAAACUUUUAAGGAAACAAUCCAAAGCCGGUCAAUAUGUUAAUAAAAGAUGAGAACAAAAAAAGGAAAAACAAAGCAGAUCCUCAAGACGGAAAAUUGAAAAUGACAAAAUCUAUAUAUUUACUGUCUCAUUUUCAAAAGACUGUAUUGACGUCAAGAUGAAAGAUUACCAAAAAGGUACAAUUGAAAAGAACCAAAUAAAACUUGUAGAAUUGACACAUCGCUGAAAUUAUAAACUCAGCUAGUGGGCUAAGCACAUACAAAAGAAUUAAUGAACUGGAAGCCAGAUUUGAAGAUAUUAUCAACUGUGCCGCAGGGAUAAAAAGAUGGAAAAUGUUAGUGUAAAACUCUCCGUGGAAUUUCAAAGCACUUAUAAACUUGUGCUCACUUCCAAGGCCUAUUGGGGUGGGAAUCUUUCUUUUCUUCCUCAUUGACCUCAUUUGGUAGCAUCUUCCCCAUACCUUAUAAGCUUCAUUCACUCUUGUGGAACAUGUUGCAACAGUUAACUUUAUGUGUCAACUUGAUUGGGCCACAGGGUGCCCCAUUUGGGUGAACAUUAUUCUGGGUGUGACUAUGAGGAUAUUUUGGGAUGAGAUUAACAUCUGAACUGGUAUUGAGAAGAGUAGAUUGCCCUCCCUAAUGUGAGUGGGCCUCAUCCAAUCAAUUGAAGAUCAGAACAGAACAACAAGGCUGAGCAAGCGGGAAGUCCUUCUCUCUGUCUGGCUGUCUUCUCCUGUCUUGGUCACACAUAUGUGAGCCAAUUUCUUAUAGUCUCUUUCUCUGACAUCCUCUUCCUAUGUAUAUUUCCUACUGGUUCUGUUUCUCAAGAGAACUCUGAUUAAUACACACGCAAUGUCCCUAUCCUGACUUAGUGCCAUUGAUUCAGUUCUUUCUCUACCUUGGGACAUUUUUCCUGAUCUUGGCCUGACUGAUUAUUCUUGCUAUGAAGAUUUCAGUUAGGGCACCUCAGAGAGGUCUAAAGUUACCAUGUCACCAAUUGCUGUCCCUUCACAGCUCAGCACAGCGGCUAUCUGAUCCAUCCUUAUUUGUGUAUUGAUCCCUUGCUUUGUCAUGGUCUCCCUCCCUCAACUAGAAUGUAAGCUCACAUAGCAGGCCCUGGAGCUCUUAUUCAUUUCUCUCCAUCAUGGAACUGAACUGUUCCACAUUGGAGUGAAUGACAUUUGUCCUUUUGGUUGUGUGUGCCCAAAAUAAAGGCGGGUCCUUGACAACCCUGCUCUCUCACCCACACCUCUGCUCCCUCUCCAUCACAUCCCCUGUGAUCUCCUCUGGAGAGCUGUGUUGUCUGGUCAUGUCUUCAGGGAAGAUUUUACCUGACCUCCAGAAUAAUUCUAAUCCCUUUAGUUCAUGCUUUCAGGACAGCAGUUUCUGUUCUGUAUAAAAGGAGAUGGGAGAAGCAAGUUUUAAAAUGAGAGAAUUCAAUACUAUAUUAGAGCUACAAGUCACAAAGGGGUAUUAGGCAUUACAUAGCAAGGAUGAAAAGAGCAAAUUAACAAUCAAAUGGUGAGUGGGAGGGGGCAGAAAAUAUAUCAUGCCAUUCCUUUCUAUCUUGUAAGCUUUCUGCUGAAAAGUCAGCCGAUAACCUUACGGAGUUUCCUUUGUACGUCAUUUGUUGCCUUUCUCUUGUGGCUUUUAGGAUUCUCUCUGUCUCUUUAACUUUGGACAUUUUAAUUAUGUGUCUUCGUGUGGGCCUGUUUGGGUUUAUCUUGUUUGGUGAUCUCUGUGCUUCCCAUACAUGGAUGUCUGUUUCCUUCCUUAGGUUAGGAAAGUAUUCAGCUAUCGUUUCUUCAAAUAGAUUCUCUGUCCCUUUGUCUCUCUCUUCUCCUUCUGGGACACCUAUAAUAUGGAUGUUAGUGCACUUGAUGUUGUCCCAGAGGUCCCUUAGACCGUUCUUGUUCUUUUUAAUUCUUUUUUCUGUCAUCUGUUCAGCUUGGGUGAUUUCCUCUAUUCUUUUUUCUGUCAUCUGUUCAGCUUGGGUGAUUUCCUCUAUUCUUUGGUCCAGCUCGCUGAUCUGUUCUUCUGUAUCACCUACUCUACUAUUGAGUUCCUCUACUGAUUUUUUUGCUUCCAGUAUUGUAUUCUUCAUUUCUGAUUCAUUCUUUUUAUAUAUUUUCCAAUUCUUUGUUGAUAUUCUCACUGUAUUCAUCCAUUCUUCUCCCAAGAUCAGUGAGCAUCCUUAUGACUUUUUGCUUACAGUCUUUGUCAGGUAGAUUGUUUAUUUCUGUUUCAUUUAGUACUUUUUCUAGGGUUUUGCCUUGUUCCCUUGAUCAGAAUGUACUCCUUUGCUUCCUCAUUUUGCCUCUUUCUUAGCAUAUAUAGCUAAGUAUCAGGUGGGUCAGCUAUGUCUCAAGAUCUUGGAGAAGUGGCUUUAUGUAGGAGACACAUUUUCAGGCCCAGCAGUGUGCUUCCCUCUUGUCACCAGUUCCAAAUGUUCCAGGUGUGAACCUUGUGGGCUACAUGUGUAUUUCUGUUGUGGUGGUAGAGUUGCUUUUGCUGCAGGUGCCCAGGGAGCCUAGCCUGUCCCCCGGCCAGCUGGUUGUAAUGCUUAGCUGCAUGUGGCUGGUAUGGACCCUUCAAUCUGUUUACCAGGGUUGAGGAGCCCCCAGCACAGUUGGAUGCAAGAUGUAAUAGCGCACUCCUGUUGAAGUUUUCUGUUAAGUGGGUAGAUGCCCAGUGUGGCCGGUUGUGAGGCUCAGGUGCUUAAAACUGCUGCAGUCCUCUUGCUUGCACCGCUGAUGUCAGCUCUGUCAGGAUUGCAGCUGAGUGGGCCUGGCCCCAGGCACAGGACUACCCAAUUGUUUCAGGCCUUGGAAGGCGGUGCCAAUCCACUAUGUGGCUGUUUGAGAAGCACAGGUCUUCUACCUUGAUAAGCCCCACAGCCCACAUGUCCACACCCACUUUCAAGACAGUGCUGGCACAUAUACACAUCCAGAUCACCUGGAGCAGAUCCAGUUUCCCCACUGCAGAGGCCCACACACACUCAACCAAUGCCGCACACACUCCACCCACUCCUCAUGCCCACCCUGCCCUGCAGAGGUGGACCCACUCACGUGACUGCAGAAGACCCAGGCACACAGUCUAUGCAGGCCAAAAUGUUGCUUUAGGGCUUGCGGUUGGGUGGGGCCAGUCUCUAGGGUGGGCUGUCUGCCCUGGCUGAGCUGGAUUUAUUCUACACUCUAGUGGGUGGGGCAGACUCUGGGCUAACAGGCCAGGGGAAGAACUCCACUGGCAUCUGGAGCAUCUGUGUCAGCACACCUGUACUAGGUCAUAAUAAUGGCUACUGUCAAUGUCCCCGUCACUGGAGAGGUCUUACGUCUCACAGAGAUGCACCCAGAGCCUAUCAGGUGAGUCUCUUUUCACCAAAGGACUUUAUACCUUUCUUUCUGAAUUUAGGUUGCUUCCCAAAACAGGGAAGUUUGUGUGUGGGCCCUUUAAAAGCAGACUUUUUUGCCUCUUCUGUCCAGUAACUUUUCUAGUGGUAUUCCCCGUUGUAGUUAAUAGCCAACAACAUCAGAUAUUAUGACACUAUUUUCAGUUAUGCUAAAUGUAAAGGAUGCUUUAGGGGUAACAAUCCCCGUCAGGUCCCCCACUCCUCCAGGGAAGGCUGUACACCUUAGGACUGCUCCUAGCUAGCUGUGAAGCUCUGCAGCUCAGGAAGUUGGCUCUUUUUCUCUCAGACAGGAAAUUCUGGCUCUUCUGGCUCAGUCAGGAAAGUCUCAUGAAGCAGGGGUUCUUUUUAUCCACUUUUCAGUUCAAGUUGUAUCUUGGUUGUGUUUGUUGGAGGAGGAGAGUUCAAAGUCCCCCUACACCUCCAACAUGACCUCUCAAGCUGUGGCUCUUCCAGAUCAUCUUUGUAAGUGACUUUUAAUAGACAGCCAUUCAGUCUACACACAGGCUCUGAUCGCAUGUGAUGAAGGAAAACUAUUGCUGAGCUCAGCUUGCAAGGAGCUGGAAGUGACAUUUUCCCGGGAGAGCACUUAAGCAUUUCACUACAGCUGGGAGAAAAUAACUAUAACACGUUCAAGCAAAGUACAUUGUGCAGCAAAGCUCUGGCUUCUGGCUGUUUCAGAUCAUCUAGGUAAGUGCCUCACGUAUUGCAGUUCGUGGCCUUC